AUGUGUAUCUUCAGUUUGUUCCCCACCCCCCUUUCUUUUUCUUCCCCUUUGUUAGGUACCCCCAAAUUUCUCUUUUUUUUUCAUUUCUACCUCCCAUGCCCUUUUCUAUUUGUACAACCUGCAUGGAAGAGAAGUCAGCAAGAAAAAUCAUGGAUUCACCAUGACGACGGACCUGUCAGUGUUAUUUUGUAUAGCAGCUCACAAACUGAGGAUGUUGAGGUUCCGAAAACCUUAAAGCCCGUUGUAAAUUAUAGCAGCUCCUCUGCCUUUUGUCGUUGUAACUUGUAUCGCGGUAACAGUAGUAGAAUGUUUGGUAGCAGAUUAUCUAUUGCAGGUUCCCAGGCCACCAAUGGGAACAUCUAA
RNAcentral lists this ribosomal RNA (363 nucleotides) under Triticum aestivum (bread wheat). RNAcentral describes it as "partial small subunit ribosomal RNA". The record is from RNAcentral. Lineage: Eukaryota; Viridiplantae; Streptophyta; Magnoliopsida; Poales; Poaceae.